UACAGAGGGGGCAAGCGUUGUUCGGAAUUACUGGGCGUAAAGGGCGCGUAGGCGGCCUGCUAAGUCGAACGUGAAAUCCCUGGGCUCAACCCAGGAACUGCGUCCGAUACUGGAUGGCUUGAAUUCGGGAGAGGGAUGCAGAAUUCCAGGUGUAGCGGUGAAAUGCGUAGAUAUCUGGAGGAAUACCGGUGGCGAAGGCGGCAUCCUGGACCGACAUUGACGCUGAACGGCGAAAGCUAGGGGAGCAAACGGG
Molecule: ribosomal RNA, 253 nt
Filed under: uncultured bacterium
Lineage: Bacteria
Description: partial 16S ribosomal RNA
Rfam family: Bacterial small subunit ribosomal RNA
Source: RNAcentral